RNAcentral lists this ribosomal RNA (573 nucleotides) under uncultured Glomeromycotina. RNAcentral's name for it is "bacterial SSU rRNA". It matches the Rfam family "Eukaryotic small subunit ribosomal RNA", at positions 548 to 1114 of the family's 1831-position model. The record is from RNAcentral. Lineage: Eukaryota; Fungi; Glomeromycota.
UUGGAGGGCAAGUCUGGUGCCAGCAGCCGCGGUAAUUCCAGCUCCAAUAGCGUAUAUUAAAGUUGUUGCAGUUAAAAAGCUCGUAGUUGAAUUUCGGGAUCAAUUUGCCGGUCGAGACCUCUGGUACGUACUUGUAUUAUUGAUUUCUUUCAUUCUGAUAAAUCAUUGAUGUCAUUAAUUUGAUGACUUUGAGGAAUCGGAACUUUUACUUUGAAAAAAUUAGAGUGUUUAAAGCAGGCUUAUUAGGCUUGAAUACAUUAGCAUGGAAUAAUGAAAUAGGACGAUUGAUCCUAUUUUUGUUGGUUUCUAGGAUUGACGUAAUGAUUAAUAGGGAUAGUUGGGGGCAUUAGUAUUCAAUUGUCAGAGGUGAGAUUCUUGGAUUUAUUGAAGACUAACUACUGCGAAAGCAUUUGCCAAGGAUGUUUUCAUUAAUCAAGAACGAAAGUUAGGGGAUCGAAGACGAUCAGAUACCGUCGUAGUCUUAACCAUAAACUAUGCCGACUAGGGAUCGGAUGAUGUUAAUUUUUUAAUGACUCAUUCGGCGCCUUACGGGAAACCAAAGUGUUUGGGUUC